CCAGCACCCCGAGUGGUCGGGACGAUUAUUGGGCCUAAAGCAUCCGUAGCCGGUCUUGCAAGUCUUCCGUUAAAUCCAGCUGCUUAACAGAUGGGCUGCGGAGGAUACUACAAGGCUAGGAGGCGGGAGAGGCAAGCGGUACUCAGUGGGUAGGGGUAAAAUCCUCUGAUCCAUUGAAGACCACCAGUGGCGAAGGCGGCUUGCCAGAACGCGCUCGACGGUGAGGGAUGAAAGCUGGGGGAGCAAACCGGAUUAGAUACCCGGGUAGUCCCAGCUGUAAACGAUGCAGACCCGGUGAUGGGCCGGCUUUAUGCCGGCUCAGUGCCGCAGGGAAGCCGUUAAGUCUGCCGCCUGGGGAGUACGGUCGCAAGACUG
RNAcentral lists this ribosomal RNA (375 nucleotides) under uncultured organism. RNAcentral's name for it is "bacterial SSU rRNA". It matches the Rfam family "Archaeal small subunit ribosomal RNA", at positions 476 to 851 of the family's 1478-position model. The record is from RNAcentral.